Molecule: long non-coding RNA, 2559 nt
Organism: Trifolium pratense (red clover)
Lineage: Eukaryota; Viridiplantae; Streptophyta; Magnoliopsida; Fabales; Fabaceae
Exons: 12
Source: RefSeq, a predicted model, not a curated record
GUUGUUUUGGAAGCCCUAAUUCUAUGGUGAUUUGAAACCCUAAUUUUUUGUCCAAUUGUCACUUGACAUCUUUGUGUAUUAGCCAAUAAAAUGUUGACAACUCUAGGUUUGCAUCCCUAAUUCCCUUCUCCCUUGGUAACCCUAAUUCCUGGCAAACCACAUGUUGAGAAGUGAGAACUAGAAACUUACACAUGGAUAGCUACAUGGAACACAUGCAUUGGGCCCAAUAAAAUAUAUAUUUCUUUUUUCCCAAAUUUUUUUCAUUUAUCAAGUGUUUUUCUCUCUCUUCUCUCUUUUCUCUCUCCCGUACUCUCUCUUUUCUCACCAUCCUCACUCACACUCUCAUCUCUCUUUACCCUCAACUAUUAUUCAUCUCUCUUCUCUCUUUUUUCCCAAAUCAAUCGCUCGUGAGAGUGAUUUUUUGCCGAGUGAAAGAAGAUUUGCCGGCGGGAGAGAAGUUCCGGCGAGGAGGAGGAGUUCCGGCCGAGAGAAUUCUUGUGGCGGUGACACGGCGGUGCUUGGCGACGGCGGCGACGAUUUCUCAUUCUUUCCUCUGGUUACACCAUUUUCUUAAACUCACAAUGAAGUAAAGUUCUAGAUGGAUUUGAAUUUCAGUAGAAAGACCACUAAUUGGAACCGUCCUCCGGUUCUAUCUACGACAAACAAUUUUCAGGCAUCAUGUUGUUCAAGCAAUGGAUCCGUUGAAAUCACUCAAGAAAGGAUCAAAUCGUUAGAUCUAGAGGUGGAGAGAGCACAAGUUGAAACGUCGACGUGUAAUUACCGUGAAGAAAAAAUACGGAGAUGGGAAUAAGCGCAGAUGAUUCUUCAGUUGCUGGUCUUGGUGGUUGUCCAUAUGCUAAGGGGGCUUCGGGAAAUGUAGCUACCGAAGAUGUUGUGUACAUGCUUAAUGCUCCCCUCUGGUUCCUUGGGUUAUCACUGGUAGUUAACGAGUAAUUUUUCCUUCGUAAUUUUUUUGCACAAAUUGUUAAUUAAUGAGUAACCGCGGGAAACUUGAAACAGUUGAUUAUUGAUGAGGGAAUAGAACAAUUUAUAUACAUUUCUAUUAAAAAUCCACUAGAGGAGUAGUGGCAGUUGCCCUCACAAACUAUAACUUAUAUCCACCACUGGUUAACAGAUUCAGUGAUGACAAUAGACCACAGCUCAUAGACGGGUAUUCUUAAAUAUCUUGGUUAAUUACAAUUAUGAUCUACUGAAGUUUGGGUGGAGAAUCGAUUACUAGUGCUUUGUGGGCUUGUAUUGUUGAAUAAUUGGUCUUUUGCUACUGGCAAGCCUGUGUUGCCUCUGUAAGGAUUGCUACUGCCGAGCAGAAACAUCAUGGCGGUCUUUUGAGUUUGAUAGGAAAAUAUGAGGCUGUUAUUAAUAAUUUAUACCCUUCUGUUUUGCCUUGUGUGGAAAUACUGAUAUCUGAAAUUGUCUUUUUCAAACUAAUUUGUUUGUAUCAACUAACAAGGCUUUGCAAAAUAUUUUGCCAUCAUUUAGGUAUAUCCAAACAUGAGAGCGGCAUUCAUGGAUAUCAUUUGAGUUUGCACUCUGAUUGGUUCAUGCUUCAAAUCUUUGCAUCAGCACUAUCCAGGCAUCAAGUGGCAUGAUUGUAGAUGCAAAUGCAACGCAAGAUGAACUGAUAUCUACUCCUACUACUUUCAUCACCAAAUGGUUUUGGAGGAGUAUCUGCGCAUUUUGAUGUUCCUUUGUUCAGUGACGAACACACAGUCAGUUUCAAGGCCACGAUGACUUUUUAUACUUUAUCUCCAUGUUCUCUACAGCAGAUCAUCCCAACAAAUAAAGGAUGGAUUAGCCUGAAAGUUUUAAUCAUCUGUGUUAUAAGAAGUAUUAUAGUAUGGGGAAAUAUUGGUGGUGUUUGAUAUAGGUUACCUGAUUAUGCCUUUUUUCCUUUUGAAAUGCUAGAGUUUUGUUUGGUCGGUGGAAUGAGAUUUUUAUUGAGCAUGGCUUAAGUGGUGGGGAUUGAAACAUAGAUGAAAAACUUCUAUAUACACCAUGCAUGUUCUCAUUUAAACUAAUGAGGUGAAAAGUACAAGCAAUACUAAUGAGGGAACUUUAGAUUGUAGGAUAUGAUAGAAGAUUAUCAAUUUGGUUUUGGGCCUUCGAUCUAUAUGUCCUAAAGAGGGAGGGACCUGGAGUUUGAAGUUAUCAACCAAAUUAAUGGAAAAAAGGAGCUAUGAUUAUUUUUGAAUUAUUGUUUAGAGGAAGAGAGAAAUGGAUUGAGUCUAUGUAUUGAUGUUUUUCUUUAAAGUAUAUCCUAAUGCACUCUUGCAUCCUUAUUGUGCAUUGAAACUUUUUUUUCUUCAUAUUGUCAUGAUAAUGAUAAUUUAUGUGGUUGUUUUUGUAAAUUGAAUUUGGCUUCAUAUGAUAUAAUGAGAUUGACCUAGAAAAUCUUAUACAUUGAAGGUUGAUGAGAGGAAAGGAAGGUAGAAAUAAUUCUCAUAUGUUGAAGAAUACUAUUUUGGAACUUGCUAUCAUGUCCUUCACAAAAUUCUUCUAUCAUCACUAAAAUUUCUCCUACCUAUAUUUUGAAUAGCA